RNAcentral lists this ribosomal RNA (468 nucleotides) under uncultured bacterium. RNAcentral describes it as "partial 16S ribosomal RNA". It matches the Rfam family "Bacterial small subunit ribosomal RNA", at positions 28 to 507 of the family's 1533-position model. The record is from RNAcentral.
GACGAACGCUGGCGGCGUGCUUAACACAUGCAAGUCGAACGGAAAGGCCCUGCUUUCGUGGGCUGCCCGAGUGGCGAACGGGUGAGUAACACGUGAGUAACCUGCUCUUGACUUUGGGAUAACUUAAGGAAACUGGGGCUAAUACCGGAUAGGAGCCCCUGCUGCAUGGUGGGGGGUGGAACGUCUCGGCGGUCGGGGAUGGACUAGCGGCUUAUCGGCUUGUUGGUGGGGUAGUGGCUUACCAAGGCAUUGACGGGUCGCCGGCCUGAGAGGGUGACCGGCCACAUGAGGACUGAGAGACGGCCCAGACUGCUACGGGAGGCAGCGGUGGGGAAUAUUGCACAAUGGGCGGGAGCCUGAUACAGCGACGCCGCGUGCGGAAUGACGGCCUUCGGGUUGUAAACCGCUUUCGCCUGUUACGAAGCGUGAGUGACGGUAAUGAGUAAAGAAGCACCGGCUAACUACGUG